Molecule: ribosomal RNA, 559 nt
Filed under: Tricellula curvata
Lineage: Eukaryota; Fungi; Ascomycota; Leotiomycetes; Helotiales; Calloriaceae
Description: partial large subunit ribosomal RNA
Rfam family: Eukaryotic large subunit ribosomal RNA
Source: RNAcentral
GCGGAGGAAAAGAAACCAACAGGGAUUGCCUCAGUAACGGCGAGUGAAGCGGCAAAAGCUCAAAUUUGAAAUCUGGCUCUUUCAGGGUCCGAGUUGUAAUUUGUAGAAGAUGCUUUGGGUGUGGCUCUGGUUUAAGUUCUUUGGAAUAUUACAUCAUAGAGGGUGAGAAUCCCGUAUGUGACCAGUCGCCGCGCCCGUGUAAAGCUCUUUCAACGAGUCGAGUUGUUUGGGAAUGCAGCUCAAAAUGGGAGGUAUAUUUCUUCUAAAGCUAAAUAUUGGCCAGAGACCGAUAGCGCACAAGUAGAGUGAUCGAAAGAUGAAAAGCACUUUGGAAAGAGAGUUAAACAGUACGUGAAAUUGUUGAAAGGGAAGCGCUUGCAACCAGACUUGCACGCAGUUGAUCAUCCGGUGUUCUCACCGGGGCACUCUGCUGCGUUCAGGCCAGCAUCGGUUUUGGUGGUUGGAUAAAGGCCUUGGGAAUGUAGCUUCUUUCGGGGAGUGUUAUAGCCCUUGGUGCAAUGCAGCCUACCGGGACCGAGGACCGCGCUUCGGCUAGGAU